RNAcentral lists this ribosomal RNA (794 nucleotides) under uncultured bacterium. Its description in RNAcentral is "bacterial SSU rRNA". It matches the Rfam family "Bacterial small subunit ribosomal RNA", at positions 8 to 796 of the family's 1533-position model. The record is from RNAcentral.
AGAGUUUGAUCAUGGCUCAGAUUGAACGCUGGCGGCAUGCUUUACACAUGCAAGUCGAGCGGCAGCGCGGGGGCAACUCUGGCGGCGAGCGGCGAACGGGUGAGUAAUAGAUAGGAACGUAUCCGGGAGUGGGGGAUAACUAGCCGAAAGGUUAGCUAAUACCGCAUAUUCUCUGAGGAGGAAAGCGGGGGACUCGUAAGAGCCUCGCGCUCGCGGAGUGGCCUAUCUCCGAUUAGCUAGUUGGUGAGGUAAAGGCUCACCAAGGCGACGAUCGGUAGCUGGUCUGAGAGGAUGAUCAGCCACACUGGGACUGAGACACGGCCCAGACUCCUACGGGAGGCAGCAGUGGGGAAUUUUGGACAAUGGGGGCAACCCUGAUCCAGCCAUGCCGCGUGCGGGAAGAAGGCCUUCGGGUUGUAAACCGCUUUUAUUCGGAAAGAAGGAGUGGGGGUUAAUACCUCUCAUGACAGACGGUACCGGAUGAAUAAGCACCGGCUAACUACGUGCCAGCAGCCGCGGUAAUACGUAGGGUGCGAGCGUUAAUCGGAAUUACUGGGCGUAAAGCGUGCGCAGGCGGUUCUGAAAGUCAGCUGUGAAAGCCCCGGGCUUAACCUGGGAAUGGCGGUUGAAACUACAGGACUAGAAUCUGGCAGAGGGGGGUGGAAUUCCCGUGUAGCAGUGAAAUGCGUAGAGAUGUGGAGGAACACCGAUGGCGAAGGCAGCCCCCUGGGCUGAGAUUGACGCUCAGGCACGAAAGCGUGGGGAGCAAACAGGAUUAGAUACCCUAGUAGUCC